UACAGAGGGUGCGAGUGUUGUUCGGAAUUAUUGGGCGUAAAGGGCGCGUAGGCGGUGCGGUAAGUCACCUGUGAAAUCUCCUGGCUCAACUGGGAGCUUGCAGGCGAAACUGCCGUGCUGGAGUGUGGGAGAGGUGCGUGGAAUUCCUGGUGUAGCGGUGAAAUGCGUAGAUAUCAGGAGGAACACCUGUGGCGAAAGCGGCGCACUGGACCACAACUGACGCUGAGGCGCGAAAGCUAGGGGAGCAAACAGG
This 253-nucleotide ribosomal RNA is filed under the name uncultured bacterium. RNAcentral's name for it is "partial 16S ribosomal RNA". It matches the Rfam family "Bacterial small subunit ribosomal RNA", at positions 524 to 776 of the family's 1533-position model. The record is from RNAcentral.